Prunus dulcis (almond) is the source of this 770-nucleotide long non-coding RNA. RefSeq lists it as uncharacterized. Lineage: Eukaryota; Viridiplantae; Streptophyta; Magnoliopsida; Rosales; Rosaceae. The record is from RefSeq and is a predicted model, not a curated record. The transcript is spliced from 3 exons.
ACAGAGAAGCUCAAAAUGAGUUCGCAAAAUAAGCCUUCGCUAUAUUGAACACGCCUCUCUCCAGUUCACUUCUUCUCUGCGACUCCGUCUUUGUAACUCCACCUCUCCUGCGUUCAACAUCGACUCAUCUUCUUCGAAUCUUGACGCAGGGACAUAUAUAUACAUGAUGUUAAUUGGCCCCUCAGUGUCACCGGUUCUCUAAUCGGUGUCUCUGAUAGUGUGGGUGAUGGUGGGCUCAUUAUCGCAUAACACAUACAAGUUGUGGGGCAUUGGCAAUGGGCAAUGGGCAAUGGGCAAUGGGCAUUGGAAUGUGUGGGUGUUGGUUUCAUUUCUGUUGGGAGGAAGGAAGAAGCAAACUCAGCAGAGCAGAUCAAAUUGCAGCACUAAAGCUCAUUUUGGAGAAGCCACAAAACAUCUCUAUAUUCAUGUCUUUGGAUGAUGAUAUCAAGAAAGUGUUUGUUGAGCAGUUGCUUAGUGACAAUGCUUGAGGAAAUGGCCUAGCUAAGUUUGAUGCAUCUAUCUUUUUGGAAACACCACAAAUGAUGCAUUGAUAAGAUUGGCUUCAUUUUGGAAACACCACAAAUUGUAUAACAUUUUGCUAGCAUUAAAGCCAUAUGGUUCAUGGUUGUGGGGUUUAUUAGUUUCAUUUUGAAAUUGUGGAUGUUUAUUUGUAUGUAUUAAUGGUAGAAUUGUGUGUAGCGAACUAAACCUCUAAUUUCUGAGUCAUGUAGAUGACUUUGGCAUAUAUGAAAAUUUCUAACUUUUGCACA